GAGCAGGUUAUGAAACACCAGGUGGUAGAGCAGGUUAGGAAACACCAGGUGGUAGUGCAGGUUAGGAAACACCAGGUGGUAGAGCAGGUUAUGAAACACCAGGUGGUAGAGCAGGUUAGGAAACACCAGGUGGUAGAGCAGGUUAGGAAACACCAGGUGGUAGAGCAGGUUAGGAAACACCAGGUGGUAGAGCAGGUUAGGAAACACCAGGUGGUAGAGCAGGUUAUGAAACACCAGAUGGUAGUGCAGGUUAUGAAACACCAGGUGGUAGAGCAGGUUAGGAAACACCAGGUGGUAGAGCAGGUUAGGAAACACCAGGUGGUAGAGCAGGUUAGGAAACACCAGGUGGUAGAGCAGGUUAGGAAACACCAGGUGGUAGAGCAGGUUAGGAAACACCAGGUGGUAGAGCAGGUUAUGAAACACCAGGUGGUAGAGCAGGUUAGGAAACACCAGGUGGUAGAGCAGGUUAGGAAACACCAGGUGGUAGAGCAGGUUAGGAAACACCAGGUGGUAGAGCAGGUUAGGAAACACCAGGUGGUAGAGCAGGUUAUGAAACACCAGGUGGUAGAGCAGGUUAGGAAACACCAGGUGGUAGAGCAGGUUAUGAAACACCAGGUGGUAGAGCAGGUUAGGAAACACCAGGUGGUAGAGCAGGUUAGGAAACACCAGGUGGUAGAGCAGGUUAUGAAACACCAGGUGGUAGAGCAGGUUAGGAAACACCAGGUGGUAGAGCAGGUUAGGAAACACCAGGUGGUAGAGCAGGUUAUGAAACACCAGGUGGUAGAGCAGGUUAGGAAACACCAGGUGGUAGAGUAGGUUAGGAAACACCAGGUGGUAGAGCAGGUUAGGAAACACUGCAGGUUAGGAAAGACUUAGUGGCCUAGAGGAUAACUACUUUUAAAAAAAAAUGA
Molecule: long non-coding RNA, 911 nt
Organism: Oncorhynchus keta (chum salmon)
Lineage: Eukaryota; Metazoa; Chordata; Actinopteri; Salmoniformes; Salmonidae
Exons: 5
Source: RefSeq, a predicted model, not a curated record